UGGGGAAUUUUGGACAAUGGGCGCAAGCCUGAUCCAGCCAUGCCGCGUGUCUGAAGAAGGCCUUCGGGUUGUAAAGGACUUUUGUCGGGGAGGAAAUCCUCUGGGUUAAUACCCUGGGGGGAUGACAGUACCUGAAGAAUAAGCACCGGCUAACUACGUGCCAGCAGCCGCGGUAAUACGUAGGGUGCAAGCGUUAAUCGGAAUUACUGGGCGUAAAGCGUGCGCAGGCGGUUGUGCAAGUCUGAUGUGA
RNAcentral lists this ribosomal RNA (250 nucleotides) under uncultured bacterium. Its description in RNAcentral is "partial 16S ribosomal RNA". It matches the Rfam family "Bacterial small subunit ribosomal RNA", at positions 355 to 597 of the family's 1533-position model. The record is from RNAcentral.